GGAUGCGAUCAUACCAGCACUAAAGCACCAGAUCCCAUUAGAACUUCGAAGUUAAGCGUGCUUGGGCGAGAGUAGUACUAGGAUGGGUGACCUCCUGGGAAGUCCUCGUGUUGCAUCCC
RNAcentral lists this ribosomal RNA (119 nucleotides) under Oryza sativa Indica Group (long-grained rice). Lineage: Eukaryota; Viridiplantae; Streptophyta; Magnoliopsida; Poales; Poaceae. The record is from RNAcentral.